UACGUAGGGGGCAAGCGUUAUCCGGAUUUACUGGGUGUAAAGGGAGCGUAGACGGCAUGGCAAGUCAGAUGUGAAAACCCGGGGCUCAACCCCGGGAUUGCAUUUGAAACUGUCAAGCUAGAGUACCGGAGAGGUAAGUGGAAUUCCUAGUGUAGCGGUGAAAUGCGUAGAUAUUAGGAGGAACACCAGUGGCGAAGGCGGCUUACUGGACGGAAACUGACGUUGAGGCUCGAAAGCGUGGGGAG
RNAcentral lists this ribosomal RNA (245 nucleotides) under uncultured Lachnospiraceae bacterium. RNAcentral's name for it is "partial 16S ribosomal RNA". It matches the Rfam family "Bacterial small subunit ribosomal RNA", at positions 524 to 768 of the family's 1533-position model. Lineage: Bacteria; Bacillati; Bacillota; Clostridia; Lachnospirales; Lachnospiraceae. The record is from RNAcentral.